GGGUUGUGAGGUUAAGCGACUAAGCGUACACGGUGGAUGCCCUGGCAGUCAGAGGCGAUGAAGGACGUGCUAAUCUGCGAUAAGCGUCGGCGAGGUGAUAUGAACCUUUGACCCGGCGAUUUCCGAAUGGGGAAACCCAGUGCAAUUCGUUGCACUAUCGUUAAGUGAAUACAUAGCUUAACGAAGCGAACCGGGGGAACUGAAACAUCUAAGUACCCCGAGGAAAAGAAAUCAACCGAGAUUCCCCCAGUAGCGGCGAGCGAACGGGGAGCAGCCCAGAACCUGAAUCAGCGUAUGUGUUAAUGGAAGCGUCUGGAAAGUCGCACGAUACAGGGUGACAGUCCCGUACAUGAAAAUGCAUACGUUGUGAGUUCGAAGAGUAGGGCGGGACACGUGGUAUCCUGUCUGAAUAUGGGGGGACCAUCCUCCAAGGCUAAAUACUCCUGACUGACCGAUAGUGAACCAGUACCGUGAGGGAAAGGCGAAAAGAACCCCGGCGAGGGGAGUGAAAAAGAACCUGAAACCGUGUACGUACAAGCAGUGGGAGCCUCUUAAUGGGGUGACUGCGUACCUUUUGUAUAAUGGGUCAGCGACUUAUAUUCUGUAGCAAGGUUAACCGAAUAGGGGAGCCGAAGGGAAACCGAGUCUUAACUGGGCGUUAAGUUGCAGGGUAUAGACCCGAAACCCGGUGAUCUAGCCAUGGGCAGGUUGAAGGUUGGGUAACACUAACUGGAGGACCGAACCGACUAAUGUUGAAAAAUUAGCGGAUGACUUGUGGCUGGGGGUGAAAGGCCAA
RNAcentral lists this ribosomal RNA (796 nucleotides) under Hafnia paralvei. Its description in RNAcentral is "partial 23S ribosomal RNA". It matches the Rfam family "Bacterial large subunit ribosomal RNA", at positions 1 to 832 of the family's 2925-position model. Lineage: Bacteria; Pseudomonadati; Pseudomonadota; Gammaproteobacteria; Enterobacterales; Hafniaceae. The record is from RNAcentral.